This is a long non-coding RNA of Xiphophorus maculatus (southern platyfish), 3602 nucleotides long. RefSeq lists it as uncharacterized. NCBI's taxonomy places the organism in Eukaryota, Metazoa, Chordata, Actinopteri, Cyprinodontiformes, Poeciliidae. The record is from RefSeq and is a predicted model, not a curated record. The transcript has 2 exons.
AUGAGAUAUGGCAAGAAAAAAAAUGCGCGUCGUCCUUACGGCAGGCUACACGUUGGACUUUUUUCUCCCCCUCUCUCUUCUUUUACAAAUGUAUAUUGUUUGUGCAAUGCAGUCAUAAUAUUUACGCAGGGACGCGGGAGGAGUGAGGUGGAGACUCAGCCGAGCUGGGAGCGCACAAACUCGGACGGAGGACUUGAGAUCGACUCCUGCAGGGGAGAGAAAUCACGGCGCGAUCCGGGAUCCGAGGCUCGAGUGGGCAGGCGUGCGGCUUUGGCCACAGGAAGCUGUGAAUUCUUCGGAGAAUGGAAGAUGUCUCACGGGGAGAUGUGCUGCACCCCCGCCACCCACACUCCACCCCAAGAUGACCCCUGACCCUUUCUCGUGUUUAUAUCAGGCCAUGGAAGUGACAAAUAGUGAUGAGUCACUCUUGCCGAGUGUUUACACUCCGGAGUCACGCAAGGAAGGAAAUCAGCCACGGUCUGCUAAAAGUGGCGAGGUGAGAGAGAGGAGCUGCUGUGAUUUACCUCUCAGAGUCGUUAUUUGUUUCACAUCACCUCUGCUGAGCAAAUGAUCUUCCAACAGAAAGCAGCAGAAAAAGCUGAGGAUUGUAGUCGAGGAAAGCAAAGACUGCUUGGGGCAGACCAUGUAAUCGCUGCAGGGGUAGGUGUGCUUCUGUUUCCCAGCUUCAAACAAGCUCUUUUCAGAAACUUUGAUGGAAUCUGAAUAUUAGUUAAUGCAUUCUAUGAGAUUUUAUUAGAAAUGUUCACAUUCUAAUAUGUUUCUCUGAAUCAGGGAUCAGUUAAAAUUGUCUCGAUAAACAUGUUCUAUCUUUUGUAAACGACUCAUUCCAACUUAAACUACAGAUGGCUUGUAAACUUUUUAUAAAAUAAAAAUUAUGAAAAGUGGGAUGCAUUUGUAUUCAGACUUCUGACUCAGAACUCAAAACUGCCUUUUUCUGAAAUUACAACUGCACAAUCUCAGUCAGAUUGGAUGGAGCCCUGUGUGACUAUCUCUUUUUAAAUCUUGCCACAAAUUCUCAAUUUGAUUCAAGUCUGACUUUGAGCUCUUGUGAUGCUGUUUGGAUUCGUUGUCCUGCUGUAAAGUGAACCUCUAUCCCAGUCAAAAGUCUUUGGUGGCCUCUUACUGCACAUUUAUCUCCAUCCAUCUUUCCAUCAACUCUCAGAAAUGUACACCUUUCUUGUGGAUAAAAGCAAAGUACGAAGCAAUCCAUCAUUCUUCUUCGCAUGUUCAGGGUGACAGUUUCCCUCCACAAACGGCGUUGGCCUAAAACUGUCCUAACACUGCCAAAACUAAAGUCACGAGUGUUCAUAUCCAACACACAGGAAUGCGUUCUUUGAUUUACCAGUACAGUUAUCAUUUUUUUUAUAAUCCUACCAUAGGUAUACAGUAAUUCAGCCAUUUCUCUGUUAUAAUUAGGUUUCGAUAAUAUUUAAAAUACAUACUAUGUAAAUGAAAAGCUAAAGUGUAUCAGCUGUACAUUUUUGAAAAGCUGUAUUUUCUCAAUUUUUGGUUAUAAUCUGCAUGUCAGUCAGGUUUCUAAUCAGUCAUUGUUAUCAAUUCACUGACUAAAAUUAAAGGUUUAGGUCUUGAUUGUUAAUAUGCAAAGAAAUUUGUGCACAAACCAAUCUAACAGUUUUAACGACACAUUGUUAGCAUUAUUUUCUUGCACGUUAAAUACUGGGACAUUAGUUUAUUUUGAGGUGUUUGUAUGCUUAGAAUGAUAGAAUAAUAUAAUGUAAAUUACACUGUCAUAUAUGAUGAUGUACCUAAAUCAAAAGUGACACCUAACACCAAAGGGCUGCACAUCCCUGUGUUUACUGUGCCUUCCUCUGCUUUUUCAAACAUUAAGCGUCAUUGUUGUGCUGAAAGUUGAGUGACUUUACAGUACGGAUUGCACAGCUGUUGUUUUCCAGACGCGGCUUCACUUGGUGCUGUUGUGUCCUGUAAAAUUAAAGUGAUGCUUUUUACUCUUUCCAUCACCACUUUGGUGCGAGUAGCUUCGCUGCAGACUGCAGCCGGUGUCCUUUUACACACCGGCAUACACACCGCCACAAUGAGAGAGUGAAACCACUCUUAUUUUGGCCAAUCUCUCCUGAAUUGUAAGUCCUGUCAGGAACCUUGAUUGAUUGUUGUGUUUAUCACCAUGUUAUUAAGAAAUCAGGCUCACCGCAGCCAGGCCUGAAGUUCCUUAAUUCCAACUUUGUGCUAAUUAAAGGUUUGCUUCACAGGUUUAGUUUUCUCAUUUUCUUUUCUUUAAAUAUAGACGUCUUUUUUUUUUUUUAAGCGAGCAUAUUGUUGCAUUUUUUGCACUGCCUGGACCAUCUAGUACCAAGUGCAGUGUGGUACUCUGUGGUACAAACAGAAAAUCCUCAUUUUUACACUGCAUAGUUAAUGAGUUCAUGCCUGUAGAUCAGCAGAGAUCCAGACUCGCGUUGUUAAUAGAGCUGGCAGCAGGCUGCGUUUGUGUAUCUCUGAGGUAAACACAGUUAUGGCAAAGUGGACUCUCUGCUCAGUGUGUCCUGAACGGAGACACAGAGCGCUAUGGCACUGUACUUUUUGACGCACUGGCGGCUCUUUAGACAUGGGGUUAAUGUGAUGAAUGGCCAUUUGGUAAUGGGCCAUGUAUUAGGCUGAAACGACUCUUUUAAAAGCCACAGUUUGAGCCUUCGCCAUGGGCAGUUUGGAUCAGCAAUCACUCAGGUGGCAGAUGUUUGGUGUUGGACUGAACAACUCUACCCUGCUUUCUGUCUUUUCGACUUCCUCAACUAAAAACAGGCAUAAUGCCGUCUAAAGCAGCAAAAUUGUGAAAACAAAACAAAACGCAUAUUUGUGCAAAUGACAAAUGAUUUUCAUAUGUGAAGAUCAUUUUUUUAAAAUCUAAUAUUGUGGUGUGCAUUUGUAUUCAACCCAUUUUAAUUUUUUUGGCCCCCUAAAAAACCCAGUGCACAUCAGGAAACACCUAAUUAGUAAAUGUUCAAUCUGUAUGUAAUUGAAUCUCUGAAUUAAUCCAGCUGUUCUGCGAAGGCCUCAGAGGUUUGGAAAUCCUGGAAAAGUUAAAGGUGUUAGUUAAAGGAGCUGCAGAGAUCCAAGUAAAUCUGUUGACAGGAACACUGCAGCUGAAGCACUUCACACACCUGGCCUCACUGGAAGAGUGACGCUGAACUGUUAAAGCAAAGCCAAAUGAGGUUUCAAUUACAGUAUCUCAUAAGCCAUGGAGGGGACACAGAAAACAAAACCAAUCGUUUUGGCCAACAUGCAAAAGACUGUGUGGAGGGAAAAUAAUACAUGUCACAACCCCAUGAAAUAUGGUCGUGGCAGCAUCAUGCUGAGGGGACACUUUUCUUCUUAGGAUUGUGAAGCUGGUCUGAGUUAAAGUAAAGGUAAAUGGAGAUAAAUACAGGCUAAAGUAGAGACUGGAGUGGAGGUUUACCUUUCAGCAGGACAACAACCGUAAACACAGCUAGUGUCUUCGGCCAGUCUAGAGUAAGGGUCCUCAGCCUGCGGCUCCGGAGCCGCAAGUAGCUCUUUGGACCUUCCACAAUGGUUAUUUAAAACUUUAGCAAAAAAAAAAAAAAAAAAAA